AGAUAGAUGGCUCAGUGGUUAAGAGCACUAGACUGCCCUUCCAAAGGACCUAGGUUCAAUUCCCAGUAUCCA
RNAcentral lists this transfer RNA (72 nucleotides) under Cricetulus griseus (Chinese hamster). It matches the Rfam family "tRNA". Rfam says of the family: Transfer RNA (tRNA) molecules are approximately 80 nucleotides in length. Their secondary structure includes four short double-helical elements and three loops (D, anti-codon, and T loops). The record is from Rfam by way of RNAcentral. Lineage: Eukaryota; Metazoa; Chordata; Mammalia; Rodentia; Cricetidae.